This 131-nucleotide ribosomal RNA is filed under the name Danio rerio (zebrafish). The record is from RNAcentral. Lineage: Eukaryota; Metazoa; Chordata; Actinopteri; Cypriniformes; Danionidae.
CCUUGAAGCCACUUUGCGUUUUUGCCACUUUUGCACAACUCUCACAAGGUCGCCCAAUGAAGCUAAGCAGGGCUGCGCCUAGUAAGUACUUGGAUUGGAGACCACAUGGGAUAGCUAGGUUGCUGCUAGAA